Molecule: ribosomal RNA, 253 nt
Filed under: uncultured bacterium
Lineage: Bacteria
Description: partial 16S ribosomal RNA
Rfam family: Bacterial small subunit ribosomal RNA
Source: RNAcentral
UACGCAGGGUGCAAACGUUGCUCGGAAUCAUUGGGCGUAAAGCGCCCGUAGGCGGCUUCGCAAGUCGGAUGUGAAAUCCCUCGGCUCAACCGAGGACGUGCAUCCGAAACUGCGAGGCUUGAGUACAGAAGAGGAUCGCGGAAUUCCCGGUGUAGAGGUGAAAUUCGUAGAUAUCGGGAGGAACACCAGUGGCGAAGGCGGCUCACUGGCCCGAUACUGACGCUGAGGCACGAAAGCGUGGGGAGCAAACAGG